This 119-nucleotide ribosomal RNA is filed under the name Triticum aestivum (bread wheat). Lineage: Eukaryota; Viridiplantae; Streptophyta; Magnoliopsida; Poales; Poaceae. The record is from RNAcentral.
GGAUGCGAUCAUACCAGCACUAAAGCACCGGAUCCCAUCGGAACUCCGAAGUUAAGCGUGCGUGGGCGAGAGUAGUACUAGGAUGAGUGAUCUCCUGGGAAGUCCUUGUGUUGCAUUCC